Molecule: unclassified non-coding RNA, 321 nt
Filed under: uncultured fungus
Lineage: Eukaryota; Fungi
Description: partial contains small subunit ribosomal RNA, internal transcribed spacer 1, and 5.8S ribosomal RNA
Rfam family: Eukaryotic small subunit ribosomal RNA (bases 1-73)
Source: RNAcentral
ACAAACUUGGUCAUUUAGAGGAAGUAAAAGUCGUAACAAGGUUUCCGUAGGUGAACCUGCGGAAGGAUCAUUAAUGAAAUUUGGGUCGGCUUUGUUAUCUGUGCUGGUGGAGACACAUGUGCACGUUAACAAGUCGCAUAUCCACACCCCUGUGCAUCUUAUGACUCCAAGUUACUUUUUCAUGUGCCCUAUGGGCCUGGUGACUUGAGAGUAACUUUUACACAAUCUUGAAUGUAAUAGAAUGUCUAUUGUGCAUAAUGUACAACAGAAACAACUUUCAACAACGGAUCUCUUGGCUCUCGCAUCGAUGAAGAACGCAGC